RNAcentral lists this long non-coding RNA (1054 nucleotides) under Mus pahari (shrew mouse). RNAcentral's name for it is "RIKEN cDNA 9630013K17 gene (MGP_PahariEiJ_G0002552.1)". Lineage: Eukaryota; Metazoa; Chordata; Mammalia; Rodentia; Muridae. The record is from RNAcentral.
GUUUCCUUGAGCUCCUGCGGUCUGCGUCCACGUAGAAGCGGAAGCCGAGGAUCCACAAUUAAUGGACUGCAGUGGGAAAACCACCCACAGCUCUGCCUGAUGCGCUUCAACUGCUGCAGCUCGGGAGGAGAAGGAAAACAAACCACUUGCUUCAUCAAGAUAAGGUUUUUAGAGGCUGCAUCCCACUCAUCAGGCCAGUUUGGGAUGGAAUUCUCCAUGGAGUCCAGGGUGGCCUCAAACUUAAAGCAAUCCUCCUGCCUUAGCCUCCUGAGUGCAGGGAUUACUACUAGUGCAUGACACUAUGCCCAGCUUCUGCUUCUUUCAAACAAGCUGCCUCAUUUUCUUAGACCUACCUGGGAGAAAACAUCGGCUUUCCUCCCCUUUAAUCACAGGAGUAAUCUAGGGGGCAGCUGGGCACCUGUGGGAGUGGGUCUUUAGGACAGUGACUCUGCUGCUCAGUGAUGGCUACAAGAAUCCCCUUGCUUAUUAUGUGAGAGAGAAAGGCAUUCACAGCACAUGUGUGAACAGCAGAGAGAAUGCUGGCCCAACCACAAGCCUGCUCUCAGCGCUGUCUUCCAAGUGACACUUGACUCUGGAGAAGCUGCACUCGAAGGCUAAGAAGUACAAAGCUCUGACCUUUCUCUAACUACCUCCCUACAAGUCUGAGGACACCACAAACUCUUUCCAGAAGUCAAAGUCCCCCUGGUUCCCAUCAAAGUCCUUAUCCUCAUCCUCCAAGGCUACCUGGCAUCACCAGGGCUAAUCCUAUGGGCAUUCAGCACCAGGCACUGUGUGCUGCUGAGGCUGGCCAGCCAAGGCCUGCUCUGUCACCUCACCCAGGAGGCACUGGCUUGGCACCCUUGAAGCUAGAACCAGUUCCGGCCGGCAGUGAGAUCAGCAAGAACUGACCAAAUGCAGCUUCUCUGCAAUUCUACACCAGCAACACAUGUACAGCUACUUUCCUUCACAGAUCUUUUCUGUCCUGAUGUCAACGCUGGGUAAAAUUGGGUUCUAAAUGGCCUUUGCUAAUAUUUCCAUAAAAGUCAAACUUACU